AGCGCUUCAGUUUUCAGAGCUCUGAAUUUUUCAUAUUUAUUUCUUUACAUUGCCUUAUCAUCCCUGUCUUGGAAUUCUUGUUUACUGACUGUAACUGCCAAAGUUUUAUUUAUCUUUUGUCUUCUUGCUUUUUUGAGACAGGGUCACAUUUUGUAGUUCAGGCUGUCAAUGUACUGACCAUUGUCUAGGCUGGCCUCAAACUCUCAACCAUCCUCCUGCCUCGGCCUCCUGAGUCUUGAGGUUACAGGCAUGAACCACCAUGCCCAGCUGUUGUCAAGGUUUUAUAGCAUUAAAUAGUCUUGUGUAAUUGUUUUGUCCCUUGGUUAAUGUUUAAUUUCAAAGUGAAGUUUUUAUUUCAUUCUACUUUGUUUAAUUCAAUAUGUUUCAUAGUAGCUGUGACAUUUUUCCUUUUUUAUUCACCUUUUGCUUUCUAUUCUUAUACUACUGUAUUUUACUAUAGAAUCUGUGAUUCUCUCUGACUUUAUCUUGGUAGGCUAGGCCAGAAAUGCACCCUUUCUUUCCAUCACUCCACAAAAUGUCAAUCUCCUACUUGCAGAAACAUAUGGAUAUGCUACUUUGUAUAUUAACCAAAGAAGGUGUGAAAGCGAAAGAUUAUCCUGGGCUCUCUGGGUGACAGACUGGAGAUGUGACAGUAUAAGCAGAGGUUAGAGUGAUGCUCCUUGAAGAAAGGGAAGAAUAGAUGAGGACUGCAUGCAGCUUCUGAAACCUAGAAACCUCUGCCCCUGGAAAAUGAUAACCACAGAGAGAACUGAUAGAGUAAAGGAGGCUGCAGGAGGAUAAGCCACUGCCUGGGACUCAUGGUAAUUACUAGAGAGAAAACAGUUUGACCUUAAAAGAUGCAGUAUGUUCUACACACAAUGGAAGGUAAAAUAACGCUGUCUCAGAGUUCAAACUCUAUAGGACACAAAUGUUCCAAAAGACAGACUGGGGGCUGGCACAGAAUCAUGAAGAAUGAGACUGUCAGCCACAAGAACAGAAUUCCUGAUGAAGACCAGGUUUGGUGUAGUCAAAACUGAGUCUCUCCCAGCUAUCAGGGAAGUGAUGAAGAAGAGUGGCAAAGGAGACAGGUUGGAUUGGGAAGACACAUGAGAAUGUACACAGUAGCAGGAGAAAUUUAAUAAGUGCUGGAACUGUUUGGAUUUAUGAGGUGCUCUCAAAUAUGCACCUCUAUUAUAAUAUGUAUCUGACGUGUAUUUCCAAAUAACUUCAAUAGUAAUGCUAUGAUGUAAUAUUUACUAAUUUCCAUGAUAGAAGCAUGGUUCUAAGCCUAAUCCUCUCUGGUCCUGCCAUAUCCUUGGGGUUGGGAAGAUUCAGAAGUACAGUAUCCCUAGACACAUCAAAGGAUUUCCUUUGUUUAAUCAAUAUCAUCUAUUACAUUUUGGGUAUGAAAGUUCAAGUCAGUGACAGAUGAACAUAGGCAAUAGAUUAAGCAAUCCUGCAGUGCUGUGAAUACGAGUGGGGUCCUGGAACACCAUGGAUGUCAUCAAUAGGUCAUAGAACCCUGCUGAGGCCUUAGUGAUAACUGGUAUCAUACCAACCAGGGUAUCAUACUGAGCGUUACAAAGGACAGUGAUCUGGUAAACAGAUAGUGUCUUAUUUGCUACUUAUUUGCUAUUUUUGGGGGGGUGUAUACAUUUAAUUUCUUAUCUUUACUAAUAAUUCUCUGAGAACAGUCUCAGACUCUUACUUGAUAUCAGCAAUUCUGCAAAGAGUUGAACCAUGAAACAUAAAGAGAGGAAAAAACACCAGAAGAAGAAACUCUUAAAACAACCUGUGAAAAAGUCAAGGGGUACAAGAGGUUUUUGAGGAAUCUCCUCACCGAUUUCCACAGUGGUUGCCAGUCUACAUGCACACUAACAGAGGAAAAGGGUUCCUUUGUACAGAGGGGCUGGAAGAAUGUUCUUGUCUUUAUUUUACUUUCAGGAAAGUUGGAUUUACAAGAUGUUCUGCAGGGUAGAGCCAAGG
This is a non-coding RNA of Heterocephalus glaber (naked mole-rat), 1986 nucleotides long. Lineage: Eukaryota; Metazoa; Chordata; Mammalia; Rodentia; Bathyergidae. The record is from RefSeq and is a predicted model, not a curated record.